Molecule: non-coding RNA, 1340 nt
Organism: Camelina sativa (false flax)
Lineage: Eukaryota; Viridiplantae; Streptophyta; Magnoliopsida; Brassicales; Brassicaceae
Source: RefSeq, a predicted model, not a curated record
UUUUUUUUCUUUUCUUAUUAAAAUCAACUCAGCUUUUGGUUAUGAAGCAAUUUAAACCCCAAGAGAUCAACAGCAAAAAUCUGAAAGAAAAAAAAAAAAACUCAACUUUGAAACCUCUCUACAUAGUCGAAGAAGAUUCUGAAAGAGACGAAGAGGAGAAGUUUCACAAAUCUCCAUUUUGAGGUUCAGCAGGGAGGGAACAUGUCAGUUCUUAUUGUGACGAGUUAACUUGCUUGCUUGCUUAUAUGGUAGGAUCAAAGUGAUACAAUCGGUGCCUCUCCCACACUGUGGGAUUUCACAGCACAGUUGUAUUUCACACAUCGUAAUGAUGUCUGGACUAUCUUUAUGUAAGCACGAAAUCAUUCAUAAAUCUGUCUAUGCUUUCUUUUGUAUAUACCGGUUACAUACACACAAUUUUUGGCCAUAUUUUCAGGUGUUUGGGGGAGAUUGCUGAGGGGAUUGACGCGUGGAAUAGGGCACAGCUGGCGGAAAUGAUACCCCAGAUGCUCUCCCCAGAAGGAAAACCUAAGGAAGAGUUUAAAAAUGACUUGCGACUUGAAUAUGAAUGGAUGAAGAACUUGGUGCUCAGGAACUGGAGGAGUUUAUCCGCGAAAAGGCUGCUCAUUCUAGUAGUGCCGUUGUACUUGAAAGUAUAGGAGAUAUAUAUAUAUAUCCCCGAGGCCGAGGUAAAGCCUCCUGACAAUGUGUUGUUCAUCUGUUUACUGAGUCCUGUGACUGAGGCUAAGGUAGGUGCUUGAUAUAUAAAAUUUGCGUUUGUGAUAUUUUGUUCUUUUUUCUUCUUGUCUCAUGAAUGAUGAGGACCUCCAUACCAUUUUUUUAAGCUUCGGAACUGUCAUAUCGGAGCGAUAUUUCCUUUAUAUAUAUAUAUAUAUAUAUAUAUGUGUGUGUUCGCUUCGAAACCUCAAUUUUCUGCUGUUGUAUUUAUUUAUCUUCAUGUCUGAAUAUGGAAGGGUCAAGGGUUGAUGUAAUCCGGGAUUUCAAAACAGGUGACAAUUUGUGCUAGCGCCUUUAUAGGUGACAAGAAAUCUCUUGUUAGUUGAGAAUUUUUUUUUUUAGUUAUAAAGAUUAAAAACAAGGAUGCAUGUGAACAAGCUUACUUUAAGCCAGAGUGUAUCCAAACUUUGGUCACAGUUCCGGCAGAAAAGACGAAAUAACUGUAGAAAUCCUUGACAAAACAUGGAACGCUGCAAGCUCAACUUUACUUGGCGGCAAAAAUGGUUACAGGGAAUGGAUGUUUCAAAUGUGGCUCAAUGAAUCUUGUUGCUAAGGACUGUGUGGGUGGUAAUCAGUCUUCAAAGUUCAUUGUAAAGGGAGGGCAA